Long non-coding RNA from Corapipo altera (White-ruffed manakin), 452 nucleotides. RefSeq lists it as uncharacterized. The transcript has 4 exons. Lineage: Eukaryota; Metazoa; Chordata; Aves; Passeriformes; Pipridae. The record is from RefSeq and is a predicted model, not a curated record.
GCACUGCAGCUAUUGCCAUCUUCUGUGGUUACUUCACAAGGUGUCCUGCUGUCCUCGCUCCAUGUCUUUCCCUGAGCAUCUGUUAGAAGUGGCAGCUGUGAUGCACCUUAAGCCUCCUGCAAAAGGAAGGCUUCUGAAGCAGGAGACUGACCUCACUGCAAAAUACAAUUUAAUUAAACAUAUGUUGAUUAUAAAAAACCAUCUGUAAUAAACUAGGAGAGGAGAGACUGGUUCCACUGACAGAAAUAAAGGUUUUCCCAUUAGUUCCCUGAAGUUAGGGGUUUCAGUCUCAAGACAUAAUUACAGAUGCUAAAUUAGUUAAAAGAAGAAAUGAUAUAACACCGUCCUAAGAUGACUAUUCGAAGUGAGCAAUUGCUGCUCUAGUUGCCAUAGGGAUACUGAAUGAAUGCAGAUGAGGUAGGAGAUAUCCAGAAGGCUCUGUGAACACGAGU